Molecule: long non-coding RNA, 2505 nt
Organism: Gopherus flavomarginatus (Mexican gopher tortoise)
Lineage: Eukaryota; Metazoa; Chordata; Testudines; Testudinidae
Exons: 2
Source: RefSeq, a predicted model, not a curated record
UUUAUUAUAUGAACAUUAACGUUAAGUUAAACUCAGAGGCAGUGGUAUGAAGAAUAGGGAACUUGUCAGGAGACCUGGAUUCUUUCCCUACUCUGCCACGAACUUGCUACAUGACCUUUGGCAAGUCACUUCACUUCUCUGUCUUUCUGUUUUCCAUCCUGCCCUUUGUCUGUAUUAUCUAUUUAGACUAAUUUUAAGGGGACAGGGAUUGUCUCUUCCUAUAGGUUUCAACAGUGCCCUGCACACCCAGUGCUACUGUAAUGCAAAUGUUGCUAAGGGCAAUACAAGAGACGACAUCUUUAAACUAGAGCUGUCAAUUAAUUGCAGUUAAAGCCUGCUAUUAACUGAAAACAAAAUUAACUCAUUAAUUUUUUAAACUGCAUUAAUCACAUACCUCUGAGUGAGGUAUUGGCUGCAGAGGGACCAGACAGCCUCCGGUCAGGUGCAAAUCUGCCUCCGGAGGGUGAGAAGAGAAGAGGAAGUGGCUCCUAUCCUGACUCUGAUGGAGAGGUGGAGUAUGGAAGGUGCCACCCCCCACCCAAUUUGAUCCUUCUAGAAAGACUGUUCUUGUGGAGAAGUAGACCCCAGGACCUCCUUCACUGCAAAAAUUGUUUUUGCUAAAGGAAGAAAGAGAGCCUUGAGCUGCUUCAGAGGGUAAGUCUAUACUGCAAUGUAAGCCCAGGAUUAGUGGGAGUCAAGUCCACAGACCCUGGGUUGUAAGACCAGGGCUUGAGCAUCCACAUUCAUUGGUGACCCUAGGUUUACAAUUUCUGGACUCAGACUCCAAACCUGGGACACCAACAUCCACACAGCAGUAUACUGACUCAAGUCAAACCACCGUAUUCCAAACUUCUCAGUGCCUUCCCAGCUGUGGCCACUCUAAUCCCUGGUUUGUUGUGCAGUGUGGAACAACCUGACUGUACUACCAUAUGUUACAGGAAGUUGUCACAAUCCACAAAGUUCCCAACACAUCCUGCUGACCUGUCUUUUGGGUCUACACAGUCUCGGCAACCACAGCCAGCAACAUCGAGGAGUUACCAUUUGAAGAUCUUCUCUUGCUUGUGUUUUUGUUCCUGUUUCAGCAAACAGGCAGAGUAUCCAUGAGACGCUGGUGGACAUUCUGGUGGCAUUUUCUGACCUAUCAAAGACUCCUGAUGGAGGAGGAGAAGGAGGAUUAUAGACAUGGAAGACUUGAACUGGCUGAUGCUCCUUGUGACUCUUGAUAUAGCCACUGAUGGCCCCUAUGUAGACCAGCCUUUCAGGAGCAGGGCAACAAGUACAGACUUGUGGGAUCAAUUGUCAUGCAGACUUCAGAUGACCAGCAGUGGGUACAGAACUUUUGCAUGAAGAAAGCCACAUUUCUGGAGCUUUGUGAGCAGCUUACCCCUAUCCUCCAGUGUUAGGACACACAAAUAGUGGCUGACAUGUAGGUCAAGAAGGAAGUCUAUAAUUGUUUGGAGGCUGGCUAACCAGACUGCUACAAAUCCAUUGCUAACCAGUUAAAUGUUGGAAAGUCAACUUGGGAGAUAUCAUAACGAUUGGGUGAUUUACCCAAAAGUGGUGGGCAUAAACAAUAUCCCUGAAGUAAUUGCUGGUUUAUGGAUGUGAAUGUGGACUGCACCGGAAGAGUUAAUGAUGCCAGGGUUUUCUGAUUAUCAAAAGACUAUGUUCAUGGACAGGCUGGGACACUAUUGCCACUAACUGCCAUUGUCAUAAAUGGAGUUACUGUCUGGGGGACCCCACGUACCCUCUUUUGCCUGGCAAAAAAAGGUUUAAUUACACUUUCAGCUUGUGCAGAAUGGUGGCUGAAUGUGUGUUCAGCUGAUUGAAAUCCUGUUGGUGCUGUCUGCAGACCCAUUUGGAUUCCUAUGUCAUCAAUGCUGUCUGCAUUAUUGCGGCUUCCUGUUUUCUUCAACAAUCUUUGCAAAGCCCAUGGUGAACCAUUUGAAUCUGAAUGGACCUAUGACAGUAAUAGAUUGCUGAACCAGUACACUCAACCAGAAAGUGUACUUACCACAGCUGCACAGGAGGCACCUGGGCAAUACAGAUCAGGGACACUCCGUGCAGCCCAGUUAUAGAUUUGCAUGGCCCAAUGGAAAUGGGGGAAUAGUACGUUUAUAAAUGUGCUUGUACAAUAUUUACAGUAACUGAGGCACUGCCACAUCAUAUAAAAAUAGGGGAGAGGGAUUGACCGCCAUACAUUGUACUUGUGAACAAUGAACUGCUUUUGAAAUGAGGGUGAUGGGGAUUGAUUCCCAUGCAUUGUACUUGUGAAUGAGAUAACUGCUUAUGCAAUGGGGAGAGGGAUGUGUGGCAAGAAUUGUGGAUUUACAGUAUGGCGUAUGGCUUGAGGUAGAUAAAAGUAUUAAGAAAUAGUGAUUGGAUUCCACUUACCAGUUGUCCCUUAUCAUGUGUUUAUCUUUAUUAUUUCAAAUACACUUUAUAUGAUGUGAUGCACUAAUGGUAAUAACAUUUCUUAGUAAAAUAAAAGUCUUUAGUUUUGAA